This 404-nucleotide ribosomal RNA is filed under the name Actinomycetes bacterium. Its description in RNAcentral is "Actinobacteria bacterium partial 16S ribosomal RNA". It matches the Rfam family "Bacterial small subunit ribosomal RNA", at positions 355 to 776 of the family's 1533-position model. The record is from RNAcentral. Lineage: Bacteria; Bacillati; Actinomycetota; Actinomycetes.
UGGGGAAUAUUGGACAAUGGGCGCAAGCCUGAUCCAGCCAUGCCGCGUGAGUGAUGAAGGCCCUAGGGUUGUAAAGCUCUUUCACCGGUGAAGAUAAUGACGGUAACCGGAGAAGAAGCCCCGGCUAACUUCGUGCCAGCAGCCGCGGUAAUACGAAGGGGGCUAGCGUUGUUCGGAUUUACUGGGCGUAAAGCGCACGUAGGCGGACUAUUAAGUCAGGGGUGAAAUCCCGGGGCUCAACCCCGGAACUGCCUUUGAUACUGGUAGUCUUGAGUUCGGGGGAGGUGAGUGGAAUUCCGAGUGUAGAGGUGAAAUUCGUAGAUAUUCGGAGAAACACCAGUGGCGAAGGCGGCUCACUGGCUCGAUACUGACGCUGAGGUGCGAAAGCGUGGGGAGCAAACAGG